GCCGGGCGUGUUGGCACGUGCCUGUAGUCCCAGCUACUUGGGAGGCUGAGGUGGGAGGAUCACUUGAGCCCAGGAGUUCUGGGCUGUAGUGCUAUGCUGAUCGGGUGUCUGCACUAAGUUCGGCAUCAAUAUGGUGACCUCCUGGGAGCGGGGGACCACCAGGUUGCAAAAGGAGGGGUGAACCAGUCCAGGUUGGAAAGGGAGAAGGUCAAACUCCCGUGCUGAUCAGUAGUGGGAUCGCACCUGUGAAUAGCCACUGCACUCCAGCCUGGGCAACAUAGCGAGACCCUGUCUCU
This 296-nucleotide signal recognition particle RNA is filed under the name Cebus imitator (Panamanian white-faced capuchin). RNAcentral describes it as "Metazoan signal recognition particle RNA (ENSCCAG00000006894.1)". It matches the Rfam family "Metazoan signal recognition particle RNA". From Rfam's summary of the family: The signal recognition particle (SRP) is a universally conserved ribonucleoprotein. It is involved in the co-translational targeting of proteins to membranes. Lineage: Eukaryota; Metazoa; Chordata; Mammalia; Primates; Cebidae. The record is from RNAcentral.